RNAcentral lists this long non-coding RNA (950 nucleotides) under Homo sapiens (human). Its description in RNAcentral is "Novel transcript". Lineage: Eukaryota; Metazoa; Chordata; Mammalia; Primates; Hominidae. The record is from RNAcentral.
CAGGACAGGGAUGCUGUUUGCUCAGAUCUCAUGUCUAUAAGAAGAUUAAUAGUGCUACGACUAAUGGGAUCAUGAUUUUAACAGGCGAUUGCAACCAGCUUCAGUAGAAGUGCAUCAUGAAUUUUACUUCAUGGAGCUGAACUCAGGUUGGUGAGUUGCCUCUAGGGCAUCUUCUAGACUCCACUUAGUGCAACUUCAGAUUCCUCUUCAGUAACCAUCGCAUUGUUGAAGCACUGUUGCUACCUGGAGUGCUGGCCUAGUUCUGCCAGCAAUCCCACCUGCUGCUGCUAUUCCUCAUCAUCUGUCCUAAAGAAAGCAAGUGUAUUUAUCUUCAAAGCCUGGGCAGAUUUAUGUUAACUGAACAGACAAGGCAUUUGGAAUGACCUCCACACGAUUCAGGUACCAGUUAAAACUGAUUUGGCCAGUUCGUGUACCCCACACCUGAUGUGCCAGCACAGAAGACUCUUAAGAGGAAAACAUAGCAGCAAACACCAGGAUCUGUCCUAAGUGAUGUCAGAGAAGGAAUAUAUUUGUGUAAACUGCACUGAUGGAACAAAUCUUUCUGGAAAAUUUGGGGCAUGAACUUGGAGUUGAAGAUUAAUAUAAUUAAGAAAUAUCAUCAGUAUAUUCCAGGUGGGAAGAAUUAAAAAAACAAGUGCAGCAAAUGUUUACUGCAAGCUGUCUGAGGACCAGCUGCCGUUCUAGCACUGGGAAUACAGUGUGAACAAGGCUGGGUUUAUGGAGCUGAUGUUCUUUUAGGAAGAAGCUGCCCAGAAAAUAGGGGCAACGGAGAACAGAAAGAUGAAACAAACUAUCCUGGUAAUAAUAUCAUGUGAAUACCUAGAUCGAGCUAUUCUUGAAGAGGAGACAUGCUCAGGCUUUUUAGUUACAAAAGCCAACACAUUCCCCUUUCUGACUCAAACCAGUUCAAAUUCUUCGUCACAAGAGUC